This 7869-nucleotide long non-coding RNA is filed under the name Olea europaea subsp. europaea. Lineage: Eukaryota; Viridiplantae; Streptophyta; Magnoliopsida; Lamiales; Oleaceae. The record is from RNAcentral.
UCCUAACUGAGUUUACAUCGGCUUCAAAUCUGCCUCUACUUGGUGCGAAUAAAUCUCUCAGGCGAUCAUCCCUGAACAUAAUUUCUUCUUGCCUCUCGUCUCGUCUAUAACCUCUUCCGGCCUCUUGUCUUGUAAGUUCGGUUAAUAUAUAUUUUUAAGCAAAAUAAAUUUGUUCUUCCUCUGUUUAUGCAAUAUUUGGGCAUGGGUUUAAAUGUGUGGGCAAUGUGUUUGACUUAAUGACAUUAAGAAGAGUCGUUUAUUAUGUAUGGUUUGAAUGUGAUUUAAAUGUAUGGUAAUGGUAUGGAGUUUGAUUUUAGCGAUUAUAGGUUAGUGUUUUGAUUGCUUGUAAUGUGAGAACCUUUGUUGCCAUUUCUCUGCUGUCUCUUUCCUAGAGAACCUUUGUUGCUGCUUAGAAUAAUAUAGGUAGAACCUUUGCCUUUCAAUUCAUUUCAAGACAGGAAAGAGAAGUGUCAAUGGUUAUAUAUUUUUUUAAAGAUCUUUAUAAUUGAAUGAUGUUUUUUGUAGGAUUAGAACAACACCAUAGCAGGGUCUGUUGAACAAAAUUAUUCAAUUGGGAUUCAAGACUGUUUUCAUUUUGACUUAGUCAUGUUGAGAUUCUUAGAUGCUUGAUUUCUUGUGAAGAUCCAAGAGCAUUUGUGACUAAUAUCAAGUGUGAGAGCUAAAAAGUGCAAAGCAUUGAUCUAGAAGUCUACAAGUAGAAUUGAAGGAAGGUUCUGUAGUUUAGUUUCUCGGAUAAUUAAUGGGAAGUAGAGGAUGGAAUUAAAGUUAUUUAAGAACUAAUUUUUUCUUUCUUUCUUUCUUUUUUUUUUUUUUUUUUUUUUUUUUUUUUUUUUUUUUUUUUUUUUUAAACUUGGCACGAGACUAAAAUGAUUCAUGUUGCAAUGCCCUUGUGAAUUUCAUUUUGGUAUAUGUUUGUCUUAAUUGUUUGUGAGGUGACCUUUUCUUUUCCCUCCAGUAUUUACUGAUGCAAAGUCACUGUAUUUGAAGGGGUCCCAGCUCUUUGUGCAACUACUUUGAUCUCCUUUCUUAUUUGGUUUUCUGAAUUAUCAGUUUGAUGUUGGGAGAUAUAACUGUUGUUACGAUAAACAUGGGGAGAAAAAGUUCGAUCCUUAUGUUGAUGAUACAAAAUUGGGCAUAUUCCAAAACGAGAAAUUUUUGGAUCCUCGUGUUGAUGCAGGCUGCACAGUGAGGUAUAAUUAGGACAGCCACAUAAAAGCACCAUUCGAAGAGAAAUCAUGUCCCGAUCCCCAAAUUUAUUGAGAAAAUGGCUUUGUUUUCGCUGCAAUAAUGAAUCAGCCAUUAAAUAGAACAUAUUUACCACAAUCUGCUAAAUUAAGGUUCAGGUACUUGUCGUGUACUGACUGCACUAGGAAACAAAUAAAUGUGUCAAUCCCACUUGUAAGAGUAUGAAAUGUAAGGAAUCAAAAGCUGCAUGUUUAAAUCCAAUGCCAAUGUUGGAGAAACUGGACAAAACUCUUCUUUUCAAUUGAAUUUUCCAAGCCUUAAUUAAUCCAGUUUAUAAUUGUUAAUGUAUGAUUAAUUUGUGAUAAUGGCAUUUUUUAAUCAAAGCGAAACGAACGCUAGAAACGACAUGGCACUUUGCUUUGGAGCCUCCACAUAUCAUUCUAUCUCCAAUAGCAAAAAUCAAUUUGGUAAACCCCACUAUCAAUAUAUUAUUGAAUUUUUCUCUUUAGUUAUAAAUAUCUGACAACCAACGUUCCAAAAUCUUUUGAUUCUCAAAAUUGAUUAAAAUAAGGUGCCAUUAUUUUGUCUCUUCCUCUAUUUCCUUAUGAUUGUAUCAUUUGUCAAAGUUGUUGCUCAUAAUUUAUACGUACACAAAUGUGGUUUUUUAUAAAUGGCAUAGGCAACAUGACCACUUUAUGCCCUAGUGGAAUAUGUCAGGCCGUUUUAGUGGUGGGCCUUUUAGAAAUCUUUAAAGGUCUCAUUGUACAAAAGUUGAUGCUUUUUUCAGUUUUGAACUAUUAGGCAAGUCUUUCUUACUGUAAUACUUUUUCAAUUUUUUUUCUAAAUCAUAUUAUAACAAGUUAUAUCUUAAUAGUGUUGGUAUAGCAUCAUGGAUAAAGAUUGGGUACACCUAUCAAGGUUAUCUUAUCCCCUUAAGUUUAGAAAAUUUUUAAAUAUGUUCAUAUACACUUUUUAGAUGAUUUACUUAGUAUUUUAUUAUAGAGUUUUAGAGGCAUAUCAACAUGGUGCAAGAAAGUUUGCAAAUAUGGUGCAAGCCAAUGCAGGGAAUCCAGAAAAGGUCAUAUGCCCUUGCAAAUGUUGCAAAAAUCUAUUUUACCAACAUUUUGAUACAAUGUAUGGGCAUUUGAUCAUUCAUGGGAUGGAUCCUACUUAUACUACAUGGGUGUUUCAGGGCAAAAAAUUGAAUGCAUCAUUGCCUCCUCAAGAUGUAGAAAAUUUUGAGACAUAUAGGAUGUAUAGAGAUGUAUUUCUUCAAGAUAACAAUAACAUAGAACCUGAGAAUGAAGGUUGAAAGAAAGAAUUUUCUAAUUUAUAUGAGGGAGUUGAAAUUCCUUUAUAUACCGGUUGUACAAAGUACACAAGAAUAUCUGCAAUCGUUGUCUUAUACAAGCUUAAAACUACGCAUGGUAUAUCUCAUAAUGGUUUCAAUGAACUUCUUGAAAUAAUUCGAGACAUGCUACAACAUGGGAACACUCUUCCCGAUUCCUGUAAUUCAACGAAAAGGUUAUUGAAAACCUUUGAUUUGGGAUAUGAGAAGAUACAUGCAUGCGUAAAUGAUUGUUGCUUGUUUAGAAAGGAUCUCGGGGAUUUGGAGACAUGUCCAAAAUGUGCAUCUUCACGUUGGAAAGUUAAUGAGCGGACUAAGAAGAUUCAAAAGGGGAUACCUGCAAAAGUUUUACGAUAUUUUCCAAUUAUAUCAUGAUUUAGAAGAAUGUUUAGGUCACCUGACAAGGUAGAACAACAAAUAUGGCACUUAACUCACAAAAAUCAAGAUGGAAAAAUGCGUUAUCCAGUUGAUUCAUUAGCUUGGGAGAUAAUUGAUCAAAAGUGGCCUCAUUUUGCAUAUGAACCACGAAAUCUUAGGCUUGGCCUUUCGUCCGAUGGAUUUAAUCCUUUUGGUGACCUAAGUUCUAGAUAUAGUUGUUGGCCGGUGAUUCUAGUUAUAUAUAAUCUCCCUUCCUGGAUAUGCAUGUCCAAAGAAAAUUUAUUAUUGACUUUGUUAAUCCUAGGUCCAAAGCAACCUGGGAAUGAUAUAGAUGUAUAUCUAGAACCACUUAUAGAAGACUUAAAGGAGUUGUGGAAUAUUGGUGUUUAAAUAUAUGAUGGAUUUACCAAGUCCACCUUCAAUUUGAAGGCUAUAUUGAUGUGGAUAAUUAAUGAUUUUUUGGCUUAUGGAAACUUAUCUGGAUAUCCUACAAAGGGCGAGGCAGCAUGUCCAGUAUGUGGUUUAUCCACAUGCACAAAAUGGUUGACAUAUAGUCGAAAGUUUGCUUACAAGGGUCAUAGAAGAUUUCUUUCAUAUAAUCAUCCUUUUCGGUCGAAAGAAGCUUGGUUUGAAGGAAAUAAGGAUUAUAGGCCCAGUCCAAAAAUAUUAACUAGUCAAGAAGUGAUGUAUUCAAUAAAGAAUGUUAGCAAUGACUGGGGGAAAAAAGGGAAACAGAAAAAAUCAGAUUUCGAUUGGCCAUGGAAAAAGAAAUCAAUAUUCUUUGAUCUACCGUAUUGGGAGGUUAGUUAUUUCAAACUAUUUGAAUGUAUUUAACUUUUUGCUUAAAUUUUUGUUUCUAAAUUUAUAUUAUUAUUUUCCAGACACCACUUUUACGUCAUAAUUUGGAUGUAAUGCACAUUGAGAAGAAUGUUUGUGAGAGCAUUCUUGGCACUAUCUUGAAUGUGAAGGGAAAAUCAAAAGAUGGGCUCAAUUCUCGUAAGGAUUUGCUUAAUAUGGGUAUUAGAAAAGAUCUUCUUCCAGAGUUGAAAAUAAAUACAUAUUACCUACCUGCAGCAUCAUAGAUGCUAUCCAAAAGAGAGAGGGUUAUUUUGUGAGAGAUUAUUUGAUUUAAGAUUACCUGAUGGUUAUAGCUCUAACAUUUCAAAGUGUAUCUCAUUAGCAGAUAAUAGGAUUUUAAAUCUAAAGUCUCAUGAUUGCCACGUGCUCAUACAACAAUUGUUAUCAGUUGCAUUAAGAGGACUUUUACCUAAAGGAACGAGAAAUGCAAUUUUUUGACAAUUUGCAUUUUUUAAUGAAAUAUGCCAAAGAGUUAUUGAUAAAAAUAACUUAGAAAAGCUUGAGGAGGAUGUUGCAGUUACUCUAUGUAUGCUAGAAAGGUUUUUCCCCCCUUCUUUUUUUGACAUAAUGAUUCACUUAACCAUCCACCUUGGGCGUGAAGUUCGUAUUGGCAGACCUGUACAAUAUCGAUGGAUGUACCCAUUUGAGAGGUAACUUACCAUUAUACCUUUGUACUAAUUCAAUCUUUCUUCUUCUAAUUAUUUAGGUAUCUCAUGCCUAUUAUGUUUAAAUUAGGUUUAUAAAGACACUUAAAAGAUAUGUUAAAAAUCGCUCAAGACCUGAGGGUUGCAUAGCAGAGCGUUAUUUAGCCGAUGAAUAUAUGUAUUUUUGUAGUGGUUACAUCACACAAGCUGCUGAGAUAGGUGUUCGACAUAAUCGAAACGAGGAUUUCGAGAAUGGUACAACUAUUGCUAGACGUACAAUUUCAAAAGGAAAGUCCAAGAUCUUGAGUCAAGAAAUGUUAGACAUCGCUACAUGUUGUUUAACAGUGCCGCAGUUGAACCAUAUAUAAUGUGAUCAACUUAGUUAAUAAGUUCGUUUUAUAUCCAUUAAUAUUUUCUCGUAAACUUAUCUUACUAUUUAUUUAUUUAUUUAUUUUUAUUUAGGAUGCAUAGAGACGAGAUUAAGAAUUCAGAUAGUCGUGUUGCUAAGAAUUAAAUCUUAUUACAAAUAAGACAUAUGGAGACUUUUACUUCUUGGUUUGCAGAGAAAGGCAAAGAAGACAAUUGUAACAUGUCAAGUACAUUGAAAUGGCUUGCACGACGACCUAAAUUUGAUGUGAUGUCACAUUCUGGUUAUGUUAUCAAUGGACAUCGAUUUCACACAACCGAUGUUAGCAGAAGUACACAGAAUAGUGGUGUUUCUAUUGAGGCGCAAACUAUUUGCCGAUCUAGUGUGAAGGAUACAAGUCACGUAGUUGAUAAAAUUUCUUAUUAUGGGAUUAUAAAAGAUAUAAUUCUACUAGACUAUCAUAGUUUUAAAGUUCCUAUGUUUCAUUGUGAUUGGGCAAAUGUAGAUAGCGGAGUCAAGAUUGAAGAAGGGUUUAUGCUGGUUAAUCUUCAUAGAGGAUAACAUCAAUUUGAAAGAGAUCCAUUUAUUUUAGCAUCACAAGCAAAACAAGUUUUUUAUUCUAGAGAAAAUGAUACUUCUAGUUGGUAUAUUGUAUUGAAGGCACCUCCUUGAGGAUUUUGUGAGUCAGAAAAUAUUGAUGAGGAUGCUUGUACUCCAUCCACAUUAAAUGCAUCAUUAAGAAUUGAUAUGACUAUUGAAGAUGACAGCUAUGUGAGAUAUGACUGUGAGGGCAUUGAUAUUGAAUAUGGUAAUUGUAUAGAUUUAAGAUUUUUUCUUUCUUGCGUUAUUUUUGUUGAUAUUACAUUAAUGUUAAUGUCUCUAAUUCCAUUAUUUCUUAAUUUAUGUAUAUAGAUGCAAAUGAUGAAAUCUGAAUUUUGUGGAAACUGAUGUGCAAAUGUCCAGACAUAAUAUGUCAGAUCUUGGUGAAGUAAGUUAUGAGGUUGUAUAUAAGGGUUUAAAAUGUUUUUAUGUUAAAUUUAAGCAAAAAAAUGUGUUUUUCUUAUUUGUGCAAUGCAGUCAUCUAAUCAAGGAUACAACAAAUCAAAACGAGCUAAAAAAGCUUAAGUUGUUGCUACCACAAGAGAAGGAAAUGAAGGCAUAAGAAUAUUAGAGAGAUGUUCUAAUUCUGUGCGACAUGAUAAAGAAGUCUUGCCUAAUAGCAUCAAUACUACUGAAAAAGGAAAGAAAGGAAGGGGUCGAGCAAAGCUGAACUAUCUCAACAAGGGAAAAUGUGCAAAGUUAACUGUAGAAUUUAAUGAAAGAGGGCAACCAAUUUGUAAAGAGUCAAAUAAGUUAUCGUCAUUCCUUGGAACCACAGCUAGGGAACUUAUACCUAUUACAAAGAAAAAUUGGAAAGAUUUAAGCGAAAGUUUUCUUGAUGACAUAUGGGAGCUUGUGCAGGUGAUAUAAACUUCACAUCAUAUAUAGUUUAUAUUAAAUUAAUAUUAAUAUUAAUCUUACAUAUUUUGACGCAGCAAAGGUUUGAUAUUAACAUUUGUCAUAGAAAGUACAUUAUGCAAAAAUUGGGAAAGAGUUGGAGAGAUCAUCGAUCUAAUAUGCUGAAAACAAUCAGCGACAAAGGAAGAACAAUUGGCAUGAAAUGAGCUGCUGCUCUCCUCAAGACAGAUAACGUUGACUCAAUGGAAGAAUGGCAAGCAUUUGUCAAAGAACUCAAUUCUCAACCAUAGAAGGUUCCAUUGCUUUUAUAUACUAAAUGUGCCAUAAUGUUGUGCUUGUACUAUAAUUGUUUGAUUUUGCAGGAAAAGAAUGAUAGAUUCAAAAAGAUGAGAGCUAGUCAAACUAUGUUGCACAAUGAAUAGAAAAGGCUUUGCUUGCCUAGAAGUUGAAAUGGUAAAAUUUAUGUUACAUUAUAAGUUAAAUUUGUUAGAAAAUUUGUAAAAAUGUACAAACUAACAUAUAUACUUCUUGGUUAAAACAAAUCGCAGCGUAUUGAAAGUGAAGACCCUGAUUCCAUUAAGAGAGAUGAUAUUUAUAUUCGAGGACAUACCCGAAAAAAGGUGGAUCAAUUAAUGAAUCAGUCGGGGAAACAUUGGUAACGAUAUUGGUUUUUGAAUUUCUUUUUUGGUUAUUUAUCAGUUUAUAUUUGCAUUACUUUAAGCCAUUAAUGUAUUUCUCGUUAGCAAAAAAAUAAAAAUAAAAGCUCGUUCACCUUUCCAAGUAAACAUUCUCUCAUGGAUGAUGGUAUUGCAAGAACACUUGGUCCAGAACGUCGAGGAUGGGUAAGAGGGCUUGGCUUCGGUGCAACUCCUUCAAAGUUGAAUGCUUUGGUACAUAGCCAGAACUUGCAAACUCAAGUACAAGAGUUAAGAGAUGAAAUUAAAGAAUUAAAAACCUUGUUUCAACAGAAGAGUAAAAGUGUUGAACAAGAAAAUGUAAAUGCGAAACUAUCGUUACUAAAUGAUAUUCUAUAUUUCAUAUUCUUUUCUAUAUUCAAAUUAUUCUUUUCUAUAUUCAAAUUAACAAAUUGUACUUUCAUAUGAAUUUUACAGCAUAGUGAUAGAAGCUCGAAUGAUUUAGAUAGCCUUCAGAGUAAAAAAUGCAAAUUGUUACGCUGGUUUGGAGAAGCUGAUGUAGUUGCAAAUGGUGAAAUCAUAUCAACAAAUCCUUGUGAUCUAAUGCAUCAUGUACCUCUUGGUGAUGAAUGUUGGAGAGUUUGGGUUAAUGAAGUGAUUGACAAUGUUACCUUAUAUCGUCCCACACGUGAGCUAUUUCUUCUUGAAGAUACAUUAGGAAGUACAAUUGCAUGACCAAUCAGGUUCAUCAAAAUGGAUUAGCUGUAAGCACAAUAAAUGUAUGCUUUACUUGUUUUUUAUAUCAUUUUCCAUUACUUUAAUAUAUUAAUUAUACCCUCAUUUAUUUUGUGAUGUGCAGGGAGUUGAUUAUUUUUGGGAUAACAAAAUUGUUGAUCAAAUUAAUCAAAAUCGAUGUGGAUCAAUUAUUUUGUACUAUUUUGAUUACUUGUUUUUGGAGUAGUAGUUCAUACUUUU